Pleuronectes platessa (European plaice) is the source of this 487-nucleotide long non-coding RNA. RefSeq lists it as uncharacterized. The transcript is spliced from 4 exons. The record is from RefSeq and is a predicted model, not a curated record. NCBI's taxonomy places the organism in Eukaryota, Metazoa, Chordata, Actinopteri, Pleuronectiformes, Pleuronectidae.
GCCUCAUGAAAUGGCUUACACCCACAUACCCGGUAAAUUACACACUUUGAUGUUCUGCUCCUUCUCCUGACGGUCACGGUAACGAUGUCUGCGCCUCCGUUUCUGUGGAUGUCCAGCGUGAGACACAACUUGAAUCCAACCAGACUGAACACUGACUCCAGGGACGGACGAGCCUGAAGGACACAGCUGUGAUGACCAUGUUCUGUCUCUUAUGACAAAGCAGAAAUAUAAAACACUGGGUUCUUAUCUAAAGUGUAUCAAAUCAGAUCUCCACCAUGUUGCUGCUGAGGACAUCAGGGACGGACGAGCCUGAAGGACACAGCUGUGAUGACCAAUUGACCAUGUUUUGUCUCUUAUGGCAAAGCAGAAAUAUUAAACACUGGGUUCUUAUCUAAAGUGUAUCAAAUCAGAAAGCAAAAGAUACACAUUGUUGUAAUAAGUUUUUAUUAUUUUAACCAACCAUAAUAAAGAUAGAAAUGAAUUGUUA